AACGAACGCUGGCGGCAGGCUUAACACAUGCAAGUCGAACGCUUGCAGCAAUGCACGAGUCGUGCACGGGUGAGUACCGAGUGGAUAUUUGCCUUUUGGUUCGGAAUAACCUAGCGAAACUUGAGCUAAUACCGGAUUGUUCCUUCGCGCUAAACAUUUAUCGCCAAAAGAUGGUUCCUCGUCCGAUUAACUAGCUGGUGAGGUAAUGGCUCACCAAGGCGACGAUCUGUAGCUGGUCUGAGAGGACGAUCAGCCACACUGGGACUGAGACACGGCGCAGACUCCUACGGGAGGCAGCAGUGGGGAAUAUUGGACAAUGGGGGCAACCCUGAGCCAGCCAGGCCGCGUGAGUGAUGAAGGCCUUCGGGUUGUAAAGCUCUGUUGGCGGGGACGAUGAUGACGGUACCCGCAGAAUAAGCCCCGGCUAACUUCGUG
RNAcentral lists this ribosomal RNA (435 nucleotides) under uncultured bacterium. RNAcentral describes it as "partial 16S ribosomal RNA". It matches the Rfam family "Bacterial small subunit ribosomal RNA", at positions 29 to 507 of the family's 1533-position model. The record is from RNAcentral.